CUCGGAUGCAUAAGGCUUAGCUCUCAGUUGGCUGUUAGGUAUUUCCUCAGUUAAGGAACCAGACUGACGGUGACCAGGGUUAUUUUAAGGUGUUUUUGGAGAAUCUUAAACCAAAAAUGUUUCUUUUUUCUUUUGAUGUUUAUUUAUUAUUGAGAGACAGAGACAGAGCAUGAGCGGGGGCACAGGGUCGGGAGGGGUGGGCAGAGAGAGGGUGAGACACAGAAUCUGACGCAGGUUUCGGGCUCCGAGCUGUCGGCACAGAGCCCAACGCGGGGCUCAAACCCACAAACUGUGAGAUCUUGACCUGAGCCAAAGUCGGACACUUAGCCAACUGAUCCACCCGGGCGCCCCAGAACCAAAAAUGUUUCCAAGAUUCUUGAAUCCCAGACUGCCAAAGGAAUCUCCAAAAUCAGUCCACAUAGCAGAUGGGGUAGGUGAGAGAGAUUUUUGUGUGCAUGUGUGUGGUGGUGUUAGUGGAAGGAGUUGGAUCAGAUCAGCUGUUUCUGUUUUUAAUAGAAAACCAUGAUACUCAAAAAUGCUUGAUGAGACAUCUGGCACUUUUAUUAAGCCUCCGGCAACUAUCCAUCUCAGUAAUAUGUGCCUUACAGGCAAGGGUUCUGUUGGUUGGUUGAUUGGUGAGGGCUUGGGGGAGGUGGUCGGGUGGUUAGCUUCGUUCUGGUCAAGGCUCGACUUUUCAGUUGCCUGACGAAGUUAUGAGACCUCCAGUACCUUGCCUGAAAUGGGUCUUUCUGGUCAGAAUGAAUCAUGUGUGCCUUGGUGCUCUCAGAGUGGUUGGUAGACAUUUUAUUUUAGUCUCUGUUCUCCCCAGCAGUAGGCCACUUAGGACAGGGAGCUGGUCAUCCAGAUUUGUUUCGAAGCUUCAACCACAGUGCAUCACAAGUCAGCCCUCAAGACAGGUGUGCUGAUGUAAACCGAAUGGAACGUAUUAAAGAAGCUCCGUGGCUUGGUUUCUCCAUCACUACCAAGCAUUGAAUGGCCGUGGAGAAACAAAUAUCAAACAUCUGGCCCCCUUUCUCUCUCUCUUGGUGUCUCACUCUUUCUUGUGAGUGUCCCCUUAUCUUCCCUUCCCUCCCUUCUCUGCCUGUCCUCCUCUUCCCUUUUUUCAUCCUUCCCUCUCCGUUUCAUGGCCUCCGUCUCAGUCUCUAUUUCUCUCUGCAUGACUCUCUUACCCCUGUUUGUCUCUUUCUCUGCUUCCUCCCUUCUCUCUGCCAUUUAAAAGGUUUGUAGGUUGUUGACUGCACAAGGACACCUUGAGGAGAGGAGAGAUGAGGGCAGAAAUAUAUCGUACGCCCUGCUUGCCCAGGCACAAGCGCU
RNAcentral lists this long non-coding RNA (1335 nucleotides) under Lynx pardinus (Iberian lynx). Lineage: Eukaryota; Metazoa; Chordata; Mammalia; Carnivora; Felidae. The record is from RNAcentral.